AGUGAACGCUGGCGGUAGGCCUAACACAUGCAAGUCGAACGGCAGCACAGUAAGAGCUUGCUCUUACGGGUGGCGAGUGGCGGACGGGUGAGGAAUACAUCGGAAUCUACUUUUUCGUGGGGGAUAACGUAGGGAAACUUACGCUAAUACCGCAUACGACCUACGGGUGAAAGCAGGGGAUCUUCGGACCUUGCGCGAUUGAAUGAGCCGAUGUCGGAUUAGCUAGUUGGCGGGGUAAAGGCCCACCAAGGCGACGGUCCGUAGCUGGUCUGAGAGGAUGAUCAGCCACACUGGAACUGAGACACGGUCCAGACUCCUACGGGAGGCAGCAGUGGGGAAUAUUGGACGAUGGGCGCAAGCCUGAUCCAGCCAUACCGCGUGGGUGAAGAAGGCCUUCGGGUUGUAAAGCCCUUUUGUUGGGAAAGAAAAGCAGCAGGUUAAUACCCCGCUGUUCUGACGGUACCCAAAGAAUAAGCACCGGCUAACUUCGUG
RNAcentral lists this ribosomal RNA (492 nucleotides) under uncultured bacterium. RNAcentral describes it as "partial 16S ribosomal RNA". It matches the Rfam family "Bacterial small subunit ribosomal RNA", at positions 29 to 507 of the family's 1533-position model. The record is from RNAcentral.